RNAcentral lists this unclassified non-coding RNA (3081 nucleotides) under Hevea brasiliensis (rubber tree). Lineage: Eukaryota; Viridiplantae; Streptophyta; Magnoliopsida; Malpighiales; Euphorbiaceae. The record is from RNAcentral.
AUUAAUUAAAAUUAUAAUAAAUCUUAUUUGAUUGAGUUAUAAACAUUAAAAAUGUUGAUAACAAUUUUCUCAGUUGAACAAUCGGAUGAAACAAAUGAUAUAUAUCCAUCAUUUUUCUUGUAAUUUAAAGGAUAAAAGAAAAUAGAAAGACCAUUAAAUUUUUUUGAUGUAUAUAAAAAUACUAUUCAUUUUUUCAUGAAAAAUAAUUCUUUUUAUAUUAUAAAAAGUGAAUCUCACAUAUUUUUUAGAGAUAACACAGGCACACUAUUUUACCUAAUAACCUCUAAGAAAAAUGCUCUUUCCUCCAUUAUUACGUAUAAUGACCAUAGGUAAUCCACAAUGGGUUAAUCCUCAAAUUAAAAAAAGGAUUCAUCGUCCCUGCGGAUUCAUUAUUUCUGAAAGCACAGUUCUUGAUUUCACUUUAUAUCGGUAUCAUAGUUGCUGGUACUCCUUUCACCAGUACUAGCUGUGCUCCUUGAAUAUGACAUUGGUCCACUUGAAAUUGUACAUUGCUCAUCAUCAUCAGUGUUAAUCAAUUUCUGGCUCUCACUGACAUCAUCUCUGGCACUGACAUUCUUCUCAGCAGUUUCAUGAAGCUGCAAGGCAAAUUCAAGACUCCAUGUCACGUCGCCCAUCGUUGGCCGUUCAAUAGCUACGUCACGCACACAACUAUCAGCAAUCUCCCCGAACUUGUUCAAAGAGACAAGUGUGAUAUCACCCUUCAACUGUGGGUCAAUAAUCUGAUCAAGUGCUCCUCUCUGAUAAUAUUUUCGUGCCCACUCAACCAAAAUCACUUCUUCUUUUGGUAGGUUUGAAAUCACUGGUGGCCGGGAGCAUAAUACCUCAAGCAAUACCACCCCAAAUGAGUACACAUCUGAUUUCUCAGUGAGCUGUUGCCUGCGAUAGUAUUCAGGGUCAAGAUACCCAAAACUACCUCUAACAACAGUACUGACAUGUGUUUGGUCUUCACCAGCGGGACCUGUUUUUGACAAGCCAAAAUCUGAGACCUUGGCCACCCAAUUCCUGUCUAAGAGUAUGUUCGAUGACUUCACGUCUCGGUGGAUAACGCUUUGGUUUGAGCCCGUAUGAAGAUAAUGCAAUCCUCUUGCCGCACCAAUACAUAUUUCUAAUCUUUGCUUCCAUGGGAGAGGAGGGCUCAUUGUUUUGUACAGAUGAUCUUGAAGGGUACCAUGCGGCAUGUACUCAUAAACAAGGAUCAUCUCAUCUUGAUCAUUGCAGUAUCCAAUCAAAGAAACAAGAUGAACAUGGCGGAGCUUGGACAACAUCUGAAUCUCUGUGUGGAACUCGCGGAUCCCCUGUUUGGAUGAUGAAGUUAGCCGUUUGAUCGCAGCUGGUAUGGAUCCACUUUCAAUGUAGCCUUUGUACACAGUACCAAAUCCUCCUGAACCAAUAAUAUUUUGAUCGUCAAAAUUUCUUGUAGAUGCUCUGAUCUCAGCCAUUGUAAAUUUACGACAAAGAUCAGUUGGCAGUGAUAAAGCAAUUGUCGCUGAGCUAGAUGUGUCCUUUGCUUUCGCUUUUCGUCUGUAGACGCAGAAAAAGGAAAAAACGACUACAGCGAAAGCGAAUGCACCUAUAACAGCCCCGACGAUAACUAUAGUUUCGGAUGAUCCUUUGCUCUUCGUCCUCCUCCCAAGGCUUGGGUGCUGUUCUGGUGGUGCAGGUACUUCCGGGUUUGGUCCAGCGAGAUUACCAUCUGAUUUGUUCAGCUUGAAUAUCUCUAAGCCGUUCAAAAUAGCAUCAGCAUAUUUAGGAUUUGAAUGGAUAUUUGGGUGUAGAGAGAGCCAUAAAUCCUGGUUGAUGGGGCUUUCUUUUGGGACUUGAAUGACGUAGUCUUUGUAUACUGGAAUAUCCCUACCCCCGCCCCAGUGGAACACAUCCGCUUCAGCUUCGGCUGUCAUAUUAUUGAUGAAUAUGAAAAACACCCGUUGAUUUGUAUCUGUAAUAGAUUCUUCAGUCUCACAGAAAUGGAGUCUGACAAGGUAACUGAACCCAGAAUCAACAGGGAAGCGCCAAGUAAGGUUGUACUUUAGAUUCACAGACGGUUCUGCACCCAUUGAACGUUUAGUAGUGUAAACAGUAGCUGGUGCAGUGUAUGCAGGGGUAUCCUUUGUGUAAUUUAUCGUCACAUCGUCGCGCCACUUAUGAGGAAGACCUGGUGCUCCAAAGAUAUAUUUGGAAUCAUCAAACCAUGUUCGAAACAUCCCUGUAUCAUCUAUGUUGCCAACAAGUCUACCGCCAACGUUAAGCCGGUGAACAGUUUCUAGGGAGGUGGAGUUAUCGAAGUAAAAGAAAGGGUUUGAAUCGGAGUAUACAAAGGUAUAACGAUUAUCCAUAUCUUUUGUAUACAGGUAAUUUGGUAAGGAAACAAUUUCUACGCCAUUAAUGAAGGCAAAAGAACUUGGAGACGGAGUAAAUGUCAAUUUUAGCUCCUGGUUGUCCCACACAGUGACUAUGAAUUCCUUGAAGACGUAGGGAACUGGUUGAAUUUUAGCAGAAACAGCUAGAUAUGCACUAAAGUUGCUAAGAAGAGUGUAAUUAUUUGCAGUGACAGUGAAGAAGGACGCGGAUGUGCUGAGACCCGAGUAUGUAUCUGGAUAGAAGUAGAGACGGACAAAUUUUGGACCAGGCAAGACAGGGAAAGUGCAGGUGAGUUUGGAGUGAAUUAUUCGGGCUGUCAUAUAAGGUACACGGUCAACAGAGUGGCCUUGUUGAGAGGCUUCAGACAGUGGGGAUGUUUGAGAGUUGAAGGGGCAGAACUUGGACUGGGCAUCACCAUUCCAACGCCUUCCAUCCUGUGAUGCAUCAUCAGAUGAUGCACCACAGUUGAUGAGUAUCGACUCAGUGGGAGUGUAAGGUGGCCGGUUUUGUGCUGCGGUGGAGACGAAGAUGAAAUCGAGGAGAGGAAGCAGGAGGAGAAGUAGGCCGAUCAUAGUGCUGUUUCGAUUGGCAAUUAAAAGUUUGAAAGAUGCUCGUGAGUAUGAGUUGUGGAGCUUUUUGAUAGCAGACUGAUUCUCAUAUACGGCUAAUUAUUAGGUACACCCGGUGCACUAAAAAAUAGUG